AAUUAAUUUAGACAAUGUUUAUUUCAUAAUUUACUGCUACAUUCCAUCAGGGUAUUUGUUUUGAUGCUAUGACAGUCCGGCAGCUAAAACAUAUCUUUGAAAAAAAACUCUAAUGCUUAUAGUCUUGUAACAUAUAUAUUUAAUGCACAUAACAAAGAUAUUGCAAAAAACCUCCACCUACCCACAAACUGAUAUAUGCAUAAUUUCUGAAACACAUACCAUAUAUAAAAAUAUACCUCUAUGUUGGCUGUGAUGUUUUCAGCUCUAAGAAAACUUGAGUUUGUAAGAUACCAGAAAGUAACUAUCUUAGGCCCUGUGGGG
Molecule: long non-coding RNA, 321 nt
Filed under: Bos taurus (domestic cattle)
Lineage: Eukaryota; Metazoa; Chordata; Mammalia; Artiodactyla; Bovidae
Description: long non-coding RNA NONBTAT016958
Source: RNAcentral